AUACGGAGGGUCCGAGCGUUAAUCGGAAUUACUGGGCGUAAAGCGCGCGUAGGUGGAUGUAUAAGUCAGAUGUGAAAGCCCUGGGCUCAACCUAGGAACUGCAUUUGAAACUGUACGUCUAGAGUAUGGUAGAGGUGAGUGGAAUUUCAGGUGUAGCGGUGAAAUGCGUAGAGAUCUGAAGGAACAUCAGUGGCGAAGGCGACUCACUGGGCCAUUACUGACACUGAGGUGCGAAAGCGUGGGUAGCAAACAGGAUUAGAAACCCUAGUAGUCC
Molecule: ribosomal RNA, 274 nt
Filed under: uncultured bacterium
Lineage: Bacteria
Description: partial 16S ribosomal RNA
Rfam family: Bacterial small subunit ribosomal RNA
Source: RNAcentral